CCUACGGGGGGCAGCAGUGAGGAAUAUUGGUCAAUGGUCGGGAGACUGAACCAGCCAAGCCGCGUGAGGGAUGAAGGUACAGAGUAUCGUAAACCUCUUUUGUCAGGGAACAAAGGCGGGGACGUGUCCCCGGAUGAGUGUACCUGAAGAAAAAGCAUCGGCUAACUCCGGGCCAGCAGCCGCGGUAAUACGGAGGAUGCGAGCGUUAUCCGGAUUUAUUGGGUUUAAAGGGUGCGCAGGCGGUCUGUUAAGUCAGCGGUAAAAGCCCGGGGCUCAACCCCGGCCCGCCGUUGAAACUGGCAGUCUCGAGUUGGAGAGAAGUAUGCGGAAUGCGCGGUGUAGCGGUGAAAUGCAUAGAUAUCGCGCAGAACUCCGAUUGCGAAGGCAGCAUGCCGGCUCCACACUGACGCUGAGGCACGAAAGCGUGGGUAUCGAACAGGAUUAGAUACCCUAGUAGUC
This 459-nucleotide ribosomal RNA is filed under the name uncultured bacterium. Its description in RNAcentral is "partial 16S ribosomal RNA". It matches the Rfam family "Bacterial small subunit ribosomal RNA", at positions 338 to 795 of the family's 1533-position model. The record is from RNAcentral.